AUUGAACGCUGGCGGCAGGCCUAACACAUGCAAGUCGAGCGGACGAAGGGAGCUUGCUCCUGGAUUCAGCGGCGGACGGGUGAGUAAUGCCUAGGAAUCUGCCUGGUAGUGGGGGAUAACGUCCGGUAACGGGCGCUAAUACCGCAUACGUCCUGAUGGAGAAAGUGGGGGAUCUUCGGACCUCACGCUAUCAGAUGAGCCUAGGACGGAUUAGCUAGUUGGUGGGGUAAAGGCCUACCAAGGCGACGAUCCGUAACUGGUCUGAGAGGAUGAUCAGUCACACUGGAACUGAGACACGGUCCAGACUCCUACGGGAGGCAGCAGUGGGGAAUAUUGGACAAUGGGCGAAAGCCUGAUCCAGCCAUGCCGCGUGUGUGAAGAAGGUCUUCGGAUUGUAAAGCACUUUAAGUUGGGAGGAAGGGCAGUAAGUUAAUACCUUGCUGUUUUGACGUUACCAACAGAAUAAGCACCGGCUAACUUCGUG
This 484-nucleotide ribosomal RNA is filed under the name uncultured bacterium. RNAcentral describes it as "partial 16S ribosomal RNA". It matches the Rfam family "Bacterial small subunit ribosomal RNA", at positions 30 to 507 of the family's 1533-position model. The record is from RNAcentral.